This is a long non-coding RNA of Ailuropoda melanoleuca (giant panda), 371 nucleotides long. RefSeq lists it as uncharacterized. The transcript has 3 exons. NCBI's taxonomy places the organism in Eukaryota, Metazoa, Chordata, Mammalia, Carnivora, Ursidae. The record is from RefSeq and is a predicted model, not a curated record.
UGCCGCCGAAUUAGUCUGAGCGAUGCCUACACUGAGAAAAUGAGAAAACGCUCAGUGAGAGCUCCUGCUUGGGAGAUCACAUGAUGAGAAGUUAAAAGUUGAGAAUCCACAGCACUUAUUUGACUGAAGUGGCACCUAUCUAUCAUUAAGAAUAUGUACUUUGGCUCAUUGGCACCCUGGAGCACUGUUUCUACCCUACGCGCUGACGGGGAAGAAAGACCAUAAAAUGCUCUCUGAAUCCAUAAGGACAACUCCGUUGGCACAGAUGGGAAUUUUGCUCCGAAGUGACAGCACUGCUUUCCUGGAACAUGAACUAAUAACCGCAAAGAGUUUCUUUGGAAACACCAUAUUUUAGCCUUGACCCAUCUUUA